Molecule: ribosomal RNA, 443 nt
Filed under: uncultured bacterium
Lineage: Bacteria
Description: partial 16S ribosomal RNA
Rfam family: Bacterial small subunit ribosomal RNA
Source: RNAcentral
CCUACGGGGGGCAGCAGUGGGGAAUAUUGGGCAAUGGAGGAAACUCUGACCCAGCAACGCCGCGUGAAUGAUGAAGGUCUUCGGAUUGUAAAGUUCUUUUCUAAGGGAAGAAGAAAGUGACGGUACCUUAGGAAUAAGCCUCGGCUAACUACGUGCCAGCAGCCGCGGUAAUACGUAGGAGGCGAGCGUUAUCCGGAAUGACUGGGCGUAAAGGGUGCGUAGGUGGUUUGGCAAGUUAGUAGCGUAACUCCAAGGCUCAACCUUGGAACUACUACUAAAACUGUUGGACUUGAGUUCACAACAGGCAGGCGGAAUUCGUGGUGUAGCGGUGAAAUGCAUAGAUAUCACGAGGAACCCCGAUUGCGAAGGCAGCCUGCCGGGGUGCGACUGACGCUGAGGCUCGAAGGUGCGGGUAUCAAACAGGAUUAGAUACCCUGGUAGUC